UUAUUGGAGAGUUUGAUCCUGGCUCAGGACGAACGCUGGCGGCGUGCCUAAUACAUGCAAGUCGAGCGGACUU
RNAcentral lists this ribosomal RNA (73 nucleotides) under Bacillus benzoevorans. RNAcentral's name for it is "Bacterial small subunit ribosomal RNA". It matches the Rfam family "Bacterial small subunit ribosomal RNA", at positions 1 to 73 of the family's 1533-position model. RNAcentral also lists the same sequence under 4 other names. The record is from Rfam by way of RNAcentral. Lineage: Bacteria; Bacillati; Bacillota; Bacilli; Caryophanales; Bacillaceae.